UACGGAGGGUGCAAGCGUUGUUCGGAAUGACUGGGCGUAAAGCGCACGUAGGCGGGUUUGUAAGUCAGAUGUGAAAUCCCCAGGCUUAACCUGGGAACUGCAUUUGAAACUGCGAAUCUUGAAUGCUUGAGAGGUUGGUGGAAUUCCUGGUGUAGGAGUGAAAUCCGUAGAUAUCAGGAGGAAUAUCGGAGGCGAAGGCGACCAACUGGUGAUGCAUUGACGCUGAGGUGCGAAAGCGUGGGGAGCAAACAGG
RNAcentral lists this ribosomal RNA (253 nucleotides) under uncultured bacterium. RNAcentral's name for it is "partial 16S ribosomal RNA". It matches the Rfam family "Bacterial small subunit ribosomal RNA", at positions 524 to 776 of the family's 1533-position model. The record is from RNAcentral.